Molecule: long non-coding RNA, 280 nt
Organism: Hyposmocoma kahamanoa
Lineage: Eukaryota; Metazoa; Arthropoda; Insecta; Lepidoptera; Cosmopterigidae
Exons: 3
Source: RefSeq, a predicted model, not a curated record
GCUCUUCCGAUCUUUACCCUCUAUUAUAAAUGGUGGAGGCGCGAACGCCGUUGGAAAAUAUUUUUAUAUGUUUUUACGAAGAAGAAAUAUAAUGUAAUUGAAGCCUGCAAAUGUUAGACGCAAGCUUACUAAUGAUGAAAGGAUUCCGAUGAAGAAAAGUCCAUCGUGAAAUAUUUUUAUAUGUUGUUACGACACAACCACAAGGAAAGCGUAACAGAAGGUCGUAAUUUAUAUUUAUACUUAUUUAAUAUUGUUUUAUAAUUGUGCCAGAGAAAAGUGC